RNAcentral lists this ribosomal RNA (292 nucleotides) under uncultured bacterium. Its description in RNAcentral is "partial 16S ribosomal RNA". The record is from RNAcentral.
GGACUACUGGGGUUUCUAAUCCCGUUCGCUCCCCUGGCCUUCGCCCCCGAGCGUCAGGUGCCUCCCAGGACACUGCCUUCGCCUUUGGUGUUCCUCCGGAUCUCUACGCAUUUCACCGCUCCACCCGGACUUCCAUGUCCCUCUGAGGCCCUCCAGUCCAGCCGUCUUGUGAGUCCUUCGGCAGUUAAGCCGCCGACUGUCACCCCCAACGCGCCAGACCGCCUGCGGGCGCUUUACGCCCAGUAACUCCGGACAACGCUCGCCCCCUACGUCUUACCGCGGCUGCUGGCAC